UCCUCCCUCUUGUCUCUCGGUUCUCAUCUCCCUCUUCCCUCAAAUCCCCAAUUCACUCUCACUUUUCCAAAUUAGGGAGUCGUAGGUUGAGAAGAAACCAUGGCAGCUCCUCCUUCCUCAUCUCGCCGCCACUUCGGCGAGAAUCAGUCACUGCCGCUCACGCCUUCCUCCGGCGUCUCUCCCUCAUCCCCUUUCUGAUCUCAAUUUUUGUUUUCGUCUUGGAACAGAGGGCAGCGGCGCGUCGUUCCAUCCCUCGCCCUCUCCAGCGAAUUCACGCCCUUCGUCUAGCGCCCUCCGUCCAGCGCUCUUCCUCUCGUCGACAUCUCAGACAGCAGCUCAUCGAUUCCUGAGCUCUUCCUCUCACGCCGAGCUCUCUGGGAUGCAGCGGCCCCCCGACGGUUUUGCAGCGCCGCCGUCCCCGCUUCGGGUACUCGGUGAGUGGAGUUCCCGCUGCCAGCUGCCAUUUCACCGCCUCCGUCUGCUGUCCGGGGUUCCGCCGUCGUCCGAUCCUUGCCGGACAGCCCCUCGUCGCCUCCGCGUCCCGGCUCGCCUUGUCGGCUUAUUCUUGGCCUAAAGCUAAGUCUCACCCCUUUCCCUUCUACUUUUUUUUUCAAUUGAGUUAUGGCAGUAACAUGUUGAGAGUUCCAUUUGCAUCUUGUGAAGCAAGUUAUGACUUUUGGGAGGAUUGUUAGCUCACUGAAAUGAGUUCAUUAUAUUGGGGACUUCAACUGCUACUUGUUCUAAGAGUUGCUACUGUCAUGAGAUUUCUACAGCCAUGAUUCUAUGUUCUUGGACCUAGUAUGAUGUUCGAAACAAAAGCAGAGGGUGUGCUAGUGUUUUACCUCUUUCUCGAUGACUCCUUCGAACACCGGACUGCCCUUAAGCUCGCCGCCACUCCUUCCUCUCUUGCUGCACUUCUUUUGAUUUGUUAAUGUUGAGAGGUGUGAGGAAGGAGAUGGUGGUGUGGCUGGUAUUUAUAGCCAAAACUCCUUCGCAUUUUGUGUCUAAUUUUUGGGAGGCGGUGAUGCUAAUUUUGGGCUGUUCCUUAGCUCCCUUUCGAGCUUUGUGAUACUGCUACUCUUACUAAGUUGAUGAAUGUUUGGGGCUGCCCUCCUUGGCAGUUUUCUCCCAGCCUUGGUGACGGAAAAAGGGAUCUGAUUCAUGCUCAUUUUGAGUAUGAACAUUGGGUUCAUUCUACUAUCCUCCUUUGUCCUAACCUCUACUUUGGUGUAAGAAGGGACUGUGACAAAAUGGCUGUCUUACUGCCUGAGCAGCCUCUUGGCUGUACAACUACAACUCAGCCUGUUUACUCUCCAUGUUCAAUCGAGCUGGCCCCCUCCCCUUCCUUUCUUAUAAGUCUAUUUUUCUAACCCCAUUUUUGUGUGAUUUGCAGGCCUAGGGGCUGCCCCUCUUGGCUGUUAUCUCAGCCUCGGUUGAUGGGGAAAGAGAGUACAUUGUUGCCUCUAAAAGGCCUUAGGGAUGAUCUCACUCCUUGGUACAUGGUUGUCCAUGCUUGGUGUCUUGUGGAAGCAUGAAUUGAGAAGGGAGGAGAGAAGAAGGGGAAAUAGGAGUUGGCUAGAAUGCCACUUGUCUCCUUGCCAAGAUAGUAUAGUCUCUAUCAUAUGUACUACCUGUGAUUCCAUCACUCUUGUAUUUCUAUUUUUUCAACAAUUUGUAAUUCAAAACUUAAAUUUCCUUGCACUUAAA
Molecule: long non-coding RNA, 1707 nt
Organism: Salvia splendens (bonfire salvia)
Lineage: Eukaryota; Viridiplantae; Streptophyta; Magnoliopsida; Lamiales; Lamiaceae
Exons: 2
Source: RefSeq, a predicted model, not a curated record